GGAAGUAAAAGUCGUAACAAGGUCUCCGUUGGUGAACCAGCGGAGGGAUCAUUACCGAGUUUUCAACUCCCUAACCCUUCUGUGAACUACCUAUCGUUGCUUCGCGGACUCGCCCCAGCCCGGACGCGGACUGGACCAGCGGCCCGCCGGGGACCUCAAACUCUUGUAUUCCAGCAUCUUCUGAAUACGCCGCAAGGCAAAACAAAUGAAUCAAAACUUUCAACAACGGAUCUCUUGGCUCUGGCAUCGAUGAAGAACGCAGCGAAACGCGAUAAGUAAUGUGAAUUGCAGAAUCCAGUGAAUCAUCGAAUCUUUGAACGCACAUUGCGCCCGCCAGCAUUCUGGCGGGCAUGCCUGUUCGAGCGUCAUUUCAACCCUCGACCUCCCCUUGGGGAGGUCGGCGUUGGGGACCGGCAGCACACCGCCGGCCCUGAAAUGGAGUGGCGGCCCGUCCGCGGCGACCUCUGCGCAGUAAUACAGCUCGCACCGGAACCCCGACGCGGCCACGCCGUAAAACACCAACUUCUGAACGUUGACCUCGAAUCAGGUAGGACUACCCGCUGAACUUAAGCAUAUCAAUAAGCGGAGGA
RNAcentral lists this ribosomal RNA (590 nucleotides) under Beauveria bassiana. Its description in RNAcentral is "eukaryotic LSU rRNA". The stretch from base 215 to 368 matches the Rfam family "5.8S ribosomal RNA". The record is from RNAcentral. Lineage: Eukaryota; Fungi; Ascomycota; Sordariomycetes; Hypocreales; Cordycipitaceae.